Molecule: ribosomal RNA, 300 nt
Filed under: uncultured Acidimicrobiales bacterium
Lineage: Bacteria; Bacillati; Actinomycetota; Acidimicrobiia; Acidimicrobiales
Description: bacterial SSU rRNA
Rfam family: Bacterial small subunit ribosomal RNA
Source: RNAcentral
CACGUGAGAAACCUGCCCCGGACUUGGGAAUAACAGUCGGAAACGAUUGCUAAUACCGAAUACCUUCACACCGUCGCAUGGCGGAGUGAAGAAAGCUUUUGCGGUCUGGGAGGGUCUCGCGGCCUAUCAGCUUGUUGGUGAGGUAACGGCUCACCAAGGCAUCGACGGGUAGCUGGUCUGAGAGGAUGAUCAGCCACACUGGGACUGAGACACGGCCCAGACUCCUACGGGAGGCAGCAGUGGGGAAUAUUGCACAAUGGGCGCAAGCCUGAUGCAGCAACGCCGCGUGCGGGAAGAAGG